This 243-nucleotide long non-coding RNA is filed under the name Elaeis guineensis (African oil palm). RNAcentral describes it as "long non-coding RNA (EGUI_LNC032242)". Lineage: Eukaryota; Viridiplantae; Streptophyta; Magnoliopsida; Arecales; Arecaceae. The record is from RNAcentral.
GGUGAAAUUUUGCACCAACAUGAUUGGUGCUAGAGGAAGGUUUGUGUCUUUGCAGUACCCUUAUUCUUAAAGGAGUGCUCAACGGGACCAUCUCCGGUCAUCCUCUCUGAUAUUUUCUUCUCCGAUCUCCUGCCAGAUCUCCACCUGAUGCCUCCCCGAAGGGCAUCCACCAGGCGAUCCACGGCCUCUGUGGCUAGAUCUCAGCGAGCUCCACAAGCUCUGGCCUCGUCUCUGAUUUCUCAG